This 253-nucleotide ribosomal RNA is filed under the name uncultured bacterium. RNAcentral describes it as "partial 16S ribosomal RNA". It matches the Rfam family "Bacterial small subunit ribosomal RNA", at positions 524 to 776 of the family's 1533-position model. The record is from RNAcentral.
GACGUAGGGCGCGAGCGUUGUCCGGAUUUACUGGGCGUAAAGGGCUCGUAGGUGGCCAAUUAAGUCAGGUGUGAAAUCCCCAGGCUCAACUUGGGAACUGCGUCUGAUACUGGUUGGCUUGAAUUCGGGAGAGGGAUGCAGAAUUCCAGGUGUAGCGGUGAAAUGCGUAGAUAUCUGGAGGAAUACCGGUGGCGAAGGCGGCAUCCUGGACCGAGAUUGACACUGAGGAGCGAAAGCCAGGGGAGCAAACGGG